AAGAAAAAAAAAAAAAAAAAAAAAAAGAAAAGAAUUUUUAUAAUAAAAAAAAAAGAUUUGUUAUAGUGAAUAGCCUUCUGGGAUAUAAAAACAAAAUAUAUAAAUAAAAUUGAUUUUCCAAAGUGUUUAAUGAAUUCUUUACUAAAUUAAAAGCAAAAUAAAACAAAGAGGAGCAGAUCCA
This 181-nucleotide long non-coding RNA is filed under the name Monodelphis domestica (gray short-tailed opossum). RNAcentral's name for it is "lncRNA (ENSMODG00000039554.1)". The record is from RNAcentral. Lineage: Eukaryota; Metazoa; Chordata; Mammalia; Didelphimorphia; Didelphidae.